RNAcentral lists this long non-coding RNA (196 nucleotides) under Phasianus colchicus (ring-necked pheasant). RNAcentral describes it as "lncRNA (ENSPCLG00000010811.1)". Lineage: Eukaryota; Metazoa; Chordata; Aves; Galliformes; Phasianidae. The record is from RNAcentral.
AGAAGCUCGGGACUUGGAACUCUCUGAAGCAUAAACUAGCUCUUCUUCCUCUCCCCAGAGAACCUAGUAUUUACGGGUAUGGAGAAAAGCAGUGGAGAGUCAUAAGGAGGGCAUUUGCAUCAAGCCAAAUCACAUGGAUGAAAAGGUUGGAUGCCCUACAGGGACAUACUUCUGAUAGCUGUCUGCAGUGUCUUCC